GGGAUCAACAGUGAGAGUGUGUUAUAUACCAAGAAUCAUGAUUAAUCCAAUUCUGCGCACCAAGUCUAUG
This 70-nucleotide small nucleolar RNA is filed under the name Choloepus hoffmanni (Hoffmann's two-fingered sloth). Its description in RNAcentral is "Small nucleolar RNA SNORD112 (ENSCHOG00000015786.1)". The record is from RNAcentral. Lineage: Eukaryota; Metazoa; Chordata; Mammalia; Pilosa; Megalonychidae.